This 1389-nucleotide ribosomal RNA is filed under the name Octopus mimus. Its description in RNAcentral is "large subunit ribosomal RNA". The stretch from base 1115 to 1275 matches the Rfam family "Archaeal large subunit ribosomal RNA", at positions 2544 to 2703 of the family's 2987-position model. The record is from RNAcentral. Lineage: Eukaryota; Metazoa; Mollusca; Cephalopoda; Octopoda; Octopodidae.
UGAAAUAAAUUGAUUUAAGAUUUAUAUGUGGAUUGUUUAAGAUAAUGGAUAUAUAUAUAAUAAAAGGUUUUUAUUUUAAAGUAAUGGGUAUAGAACUAUUUUUGUUUGUUGUACUGAAGAGGAAAAAAUAAUAACUAAGUUUGAAUAUAGUAGAAUUUAAAUUUUGUACCUUUUGCAUAAUGGUUUAAUAAUAUUGCUAGAUAUAUAUUUUCUUCUCGAAAUAUAAAGAUUUAUUUGUUUUAAAAUAAUAUUUUAUGGAAAUAGUUAACGUAGUAUAGUUAUUAUUUUAAAAGUGAAUGGUAGUGAAAUGUUAAUCGGUUUAUAUGGUAGCUAGUUUAUUUAUUUUUUACAUUUUAGUGUUAUUUAAAAAUUAAUUAUGAGUAGUAAUUUUUUUUGAAUUAAAUAUUGAGGGAUAAGCUUCAUAUGUUAUUUGUGAGAAGAUUUUUAGUAUUAAAUAGAUAAUUGAAGUUGAAUUAAUAUUUUUUCUUAGUUGGUAUAUUAAUAUUUUGUUUUUAGUAAAUACUUUCUUCAUGAUGGUUAAGUAAAUUUCUUUAAAUUAUAUAAAGUAAAAUAUAAUGUUAAAAUGAGUAUUUGAUUUUAUUGAAUAUAUAUUAUUAGUUUGUGAUUGAAUUGAUGAUUUGGAAAUUAAAGUUCUUUAUGUAAAUAUAGAUUUAAAAUUAAUUAGGAUAAAGGAAUUUGGCAAAUAUUAAUUUCGCCUGUUUAUCAAAAACAUGUCUCUUUGAGAUUUUUUAAUAAAGAGUUGGGCCUGCUCGGUGAUUAAUAUUUAACAGCUGCGGUAUUAUAACUGUACUAAGGUAGCAUAAUAAUUUGCUCUAUAAAUUGGGGCUAGAAUGAAUGGUUUGACGAAAAUUUGACUGUCUCUAUCUUAUUUAUUAGAAAUUAAUUUUUGUAGUGAGAAAGCUUAAAUUAUUUAAAGGGACGAAAAGACCCUAUUGAGCUUGUAUUAUUUAACAAAUUAUAUGAUUGUUAUUUGUUUGAAUUAAUUUUGAUUGGGGUGAUCAAGGAAUAAAUUUUAUUUAGUUUAACUUCCUUAGUUAAUUGUUUUAUAGAAGAAUAAACCAAAGUUUUUGCUUAGAAGAUAAGUUACCAUAGGGAUAACAGCGUAAUUUUUUUUGAGAGUUCAUAUUGAAAAAAGAGAUUGCGACCUCGAUGUUGGAUUAAAAUUAACCUUAAGGUGAAGAGGCUUUAUUAGGUAAAUCUGUUCGAUUUUUAAAAUUUUACAUGAUCUGAGUUCAAACCGGUGAAAACCAGGUUGGUUUUUAUCUUUUAAAUUGUUUUUUAUUUGAUUUAGUACGAAAGGAUUGAUUAUAAUUAAUUAUAUUAAUUAAUUAUAUAAAAUAUAUAAUAAAGUUGGCAGAAAUAUGUGAA